Choloepus didactylus (southern two-toed sloth) is the source of this 1107-nucleotide long non-coding RNA. RefSeq lists it as uncharacterized. The record is from RefSeq and is a predicted model, not a curated record. NCBI's taxonomy places the organism in Eukaryota, Metazoa, Chordata, Mammalia, Pilosa, Megalonychidae. The transcript has 4 exons.
GGUGGGGGGUUCCCACUUGCAGAUCCGCUUGCUUCCAAAGGGUGGGUGUCCACGGGCCAGCCCCACAGGCCGGUGCCCCCCGGCCCCUCUCGGAGGGUCUGGGGCCUCCAGAGCCAGACGUGGGGUCCCCGAGCUGGUUUCCGCUGCCACCCGGGGCCCAAAGAAUCGCCCGGAAGGAGCCCAGAGCGGGGCCAGAGCCCGUCCGCGGUGACCCAGCCUGGCCACCUGUCCCAGGAGCAGCUGGGCACUGGGGCCUGGGGACCCUUGGCCUCCGUCUGACAAGGACACGGGUCAGCGGCUCCCCGAGUCACAGUGCCCUCCCCCACUCCCCAGGCUCCUGCAAACCGGGUCCUCUGAUGGCCGGGGACCCUGAAGCUGGCUCGGUGUCGGGACGAACCCCACUCUGGGCACCCUCCCAGUGGCCCCAGGCUGGGGGUGCUACACGGGAGCCCCUUUUUCUGACCUGCCUCCCGCUGCAGAGCAGGCUCGGAGAGGAAGAGGGACCCCUCGAGACCGCAGCCGAGCACAUGGCCUGGGCUUCCUUCACCCCGUCUGCAGCAUUCAGCUGCUCAGAGAGGAUUCUUCUCUCUGGGAGUCCCCAGCCUGGUUGAAGAUGGGACAGCUUGGCUGGCAAAAGGACCAGGCAUCCGCCAGAGCUGGGAUUGGCGUGGGGAAGCCACACCAGCUGGAAGGUUCGGAUCUGCCCCACCUCCGGGCCUGGAAAAGCAAAGCACCCAGUGAAGAAAGUGGGGUGCUUUUGGUGCAGGAAACCACAGUCUGGGAGGGGAAGGGGCUUGCCCACCACACCGAUGAGGCCGUGCAAACCACUUCCUGCAAGAGACACCCAUUGCAGCCUUCCGCCAGGCCCCGCUGCCCUUGGAGGUGCCAACCAAGUCUCGUGGGCCAUGGGCAAGGGCCCCAGUGGGUAGAGACACGACAUCCCAAAGGCGGGUCCGGGGGGAAGUACCACCUUCCCAUCCACCCCUCUGGGAGCCAGGAAAUCUGAUACAAUCCGGGAUAUUUUGUGUUCCUGGCACUGAGUAUUCCCUUGGUGAAUUGGUUAAAUGCAACCGACUUGGAACCUAAGCAUUGUAGUGUCUUGAUUCA